AACGAACGCUGGCGGCACGCUUAACACAUGCAAGUCGAACGCAGGUACGAUAGUUUACUAUUGUAUGCUGAGUGGCGAACGGGUGAGUAACACGUAGGAAUUUGCCUUAGAGUUUGGGAUAAGAUACCGGAUACGCUCUAAGUAAGUUUUCUGAAAAUGCAUCAAGUAUGUAUUUCUUAGAAAAUUUACUGGAGGAAAGAUUUAUCGCUCUGAGAGAAGCCUGCGCCGGAUUACGGUAGUUGGUGGGGUAAAGGCCUACCAAGCCUAUGAUCCGUAGCUGGUCUGAGAGGACGAUCAGCCACACAGGGAUUGAGAUACGGCCCUGACAUCAUAGUAUGGCAGCAGUGGGGAAUAUUGGACAAUGGGGAAACCUGAUCCAGCGAUGCCGCGUGAACGAAGAAGGUAUUAGUACUGUAAAGUUCUUUUACUCGUGAAGAUGAUGACGGUAGCGAGUGAAUAAGCACCGGCUAACUCUGUGCC
This 480-nucleotide ribosomal RNA is filed under the name uncultured bacterium. Its description in RNAcentral is "bacterial SSU rRNA". It matches the Rfam family "Bacterial small subunit ribosomal RNA", at positions 29 to 509 of the family's 1533-position model. The record is from RNAcentral.